UUUAAAACGAGCGUCCGAUCUUAUAAAGCAAAAUGAACAACUUUUAGAAGAAAAUCAGAAUUUACGAGAAAUAAAUGAGUGUAUGACUGCUCGUCACUUGCGCAAUAAGUUUUCCGAUUAUCAGUUAUUUGAAGACGGUAUCUACCAAGAAACGACAUUGAACAAGGAAAUUAUAAAUGUAAAAAAUAAAAGUGCCACAACAGAAAUAACUUCAAACGCGUCCUAUAGCCCUACUACAUGCUGGACAGUUUGGUUGGAAGAUAAGGACUGUAAAUUUUGCUUAAAUUGUGGCCAAAAAUUUAAUUUAUUUUUUCGUAGG
Long non-coding RNA from Zophobas morio, 319 nucleotides. RefSeq lists it as uncharacterized. The transcript is spliced from 4 exons. The record is from RefSeq and is a predicted model, not a curated record. NCBI's taxonomy places the organism in Eukaryota, Metazoa, Arthropoda, Insecta, Coleoptera, Tenebrionidae.